GGGCGAAAGCCUGAUGCAGCAACGCCGCGUGAGGGAUGACGGCCUUCGGGUUGUAAACCUCUUUUGGUAGGGAAGAAGCCUUCGGGUGACGGUACCUGCAGAAAAAGCGCCGGCUAACUACGUGCCAGCAGCCGCGGUAAUACGUAGGGCGCAAGCGUUAUCCGGAAUUAUUGGGCGUAAAGAGCUCGUAGGCGGUCUGUCGCGUCUGCUGUGAAAUCCCGAGGCUCAACCUCGGGCUUGCAGUGGGUACGGGCAGACUAGAGUGCGGUAGGGGAGAUUGGAAUUCCUGGUGUAGCGGUGGAAUGCGCAGAUAUCAGGAGGAACACCGAUGGCGAAGGCAGAUCUCUGGGCCGUUACUGACGCUGAGGAGCGAAAGGGUGGGGAGCAAACAGGCUUAGAUACCCUGGUAGUCCACCCCGUAAACGUUGGGCCCUAGUUGUGGGGUCCUUUCCACGGAUUCCGUGACGUAGCUAACGCAUUAAGUUCCCCGCCUGG
Molecule: ribosomal RNA, 495 nt
Filed under: Microbacterium aquimaris
Lineage: Bacteria; Bacillati; Actinomycetota; Actinomycetes; Micrococcales; Microbacteriaceae
Description: bacterial SSU rRNA
Rfam family: Bacterial small subunit ribosomal RNA
Source: RNAcentral